AAGCUGAAUAAGUAUUAGCCGUAUUUUUUGCCUCGUAAUCAAGGUAACCCAAAAAUCAACGGAAAAUAAACCGAAGUAUCAAUUGUUUUCAAAUAAACUGGCAGAAAAUUCUGCAUAUAUUUAUAAUGAUACAACCCGAAUGCCUCAAUUCUUACUAACCAAAACACACGACAUAGUCAAACUAAUAGCUACAACGCUAAAUCGCAUAACUGAAAA
This is a non-coding RNA of Cinara cedri, 216 nucleotides long. Lineage: Eukaryota; Metazoa; Arthropoda; Insecta; Hemiptera; Aphididae. The record is from the annotation of a GenBank genome assembly.